This 15202-nucleotide long non-coding RNA is filed under the name Triticum aestivum (bread wheat). RNAcentral describes it as "long non-coding RNA (TAES_LNC013503)". Lineage: Eukaryota; Viridiplantae; Streptophyta; Magnoliopsida; Poales; Poaceae. The record is from RNAcentral.
UUUUUUUUUGCUUAUCACCGGCGUACGCCACUACCACAAUGUUUUGUCGAUACCGUUCGUAUCUAUCCAAUUCUUCUUCUCACUUGGACGUUACCCAACAGCCGCAAGUUUCCUGUUGCUUCGGACCGCCAAUUCAAGAAAGCAAAGGGUGUUCUGUAGGAAGAUACCUUCCCAAGGUUUCCACGCCAUCACACACACACAUAUACACGCGGCUCGCGAGCUCGCUUCAGAAAAAACCAAAUCCUCUAUUCCUGCAUCGCCCGCAUCUGUUCGUCCCCCUCUGCGGCGGCGGUGGCGGUGGCGACGAUGGGGCUCGAGAUGGAGCCGAUGGCGGCGGCGAUCGGCGUCUCGGUGCCCGUGCUCCGCUUCCUGCUCUGCUUCGCGGCCACCAUACCCACGGGCCUCCUCUGGCGCGCCGUGCCGAGCGCCACGGGGCGGCACCUCUACGCGGGGCUCAGCGGCGCCGCGCUCUCCUACCUGUCCUUCGGGGCCACCUCCAACCUCCUCUUCGUCGGGCCCAUGGCGCUCGGUUACCUCUCCAUGCUCCUCUGCCGUCGCCGAGCUGGCCUCGUCACCUUCCUCGGCGCAUUCGGCUUCCUCAUCGCAUGGUGAAACCCUCCCUUCCAUCCUUGUCUACUGGGGUCAUAUAUACCGAUGCUUAGUUUCGGGUGAAUCAUGAAUGUUGGAUUCAUGGGUUUUCACGCCUUCAUUUUGGGUAGAACAGGGCAGGCAAUGUACAGCUAACAGCAGCUUGUUCGACUAGGAAACCAGAGGAAUUGUAAGCGGAUCUGCAGAUGUGGCCGAGCCAGAGCUUUGGGUCAUCACAGGGUUAAACAGUAGUUUAUUCUAUUGGAAAACCACGGGAAUCGUAAGUGGGCAUGGAGCUUUUGAUGCUUCUGAUAUGGUUGGAACCGCAGCAUGGACGAUUUCAUGUUGGAGCUGAUUGAAAUGAUUUUCAACUUUUCUCUGUCUAGCCACGUGGUGCUAUUUAUGAUUAAUAGUUUCAAGGUGAAAAUGAGAUCUUGUAUUAUCUCAGGAUGAAUUUUCUUCUAUGCUUGCAAAAUUUUGGACGUCUGAUCUCGUAAAGAUUGCAAUGAAUACAUAUAAUGUGAUUGUUGAGAUUUUACCUAAGUACCUUAGCAGUUCCUAUUGGAGAAUUUAUUGGUUGUGUGCUCAUGAAGCAUCAGGGCACCACUUGUUAGUCACGUGAAUCAGUUUUUUCUUCUCUUGAAAUGUUAAGUCUGUUUUGGCGGUACUAUGAUGCGAUUUAUGAUCUGUCACACUGAGGGGUUGAAUUAAUAUGACCUAUGUUUACUUGGAAAGAAAUUAAGGGAAGGGAGAAAAUAUUUCCCAUCCAAAUAUCCCUGACAAAGACUCCAUCCAGAUAAUGGAUGCUGUUUGGUUCACUUAGAAGUUAUUUAUUCUAUCUGGAGCCAUCCAAACCCACAUAAAUUUUCAACAACUUAAUUAAUAUUCAGGCACACCAUCUCUGAAGAUGAUUAUUCCAUAACCAACACACAGGCUUGACAUUAGUGAUGUUUUAUUCACCUUGAAAACUUAUAGUUGAGUAUUUAAAACUGACUCAAUGAAGUAUGAAUGCAGGCAUUGCCGUAUUCCUGUUCAUUAUCAUUGACAUCGAUGUUCUGUUCCAUAAGGCUCUGACUGAAAUUUACUGUAAAUAGAAAGGUGCAGCUAUUCUUUUAUUUCCUAGUUACUAGUGUGAAUCAGUGACAACGAAUGUUGAGUGGUAAUUCUAGUUACGUUCUCGUCAAUAUUGAUGCCCCCUCACCAUCCUCUUCAACUUCAUUCUCUCGUAUGGUGCAGUUAAUUUUUGUGUUCACUACCUAGAAGUUUAAAUUAGCGGCCACAAGUGUCUGAGUAGUCAUUCUAAUUUGGUUCCUGUUUCAUUCCCUACUGAAACAAACAAGUUACGGAUUAUAUCAAUUUGCCCAUCUUUCACAUGGAGUAAAGUAUCCACUUUGUCUACAUAGCCUGUGUUGGACCAGGCACCCAUAUAGAUUAUCUAGAUCCAAAAUCAUGACCUUUAAAAUACGCUAAUCACACACUCAUUCUUUCCAUUUGUAGAAACUCUUUAUUUGGCAACUGUUGUAUAUCAUCGAGACAACAUAAAAAUAACAAACACUUAACAAUAGGUCUAGUUCAACAGGCAGCCAUUGUGGUAGCAAACUUUCUUCACUUAGCUGUUGAAGAUAAUGGUGCGUCUGUUUAAUUCUUUAAAUGUGUAAUUGAUUCAAAAAUAAUAAUAAUCCACGGAUGCAAUCCGGUCGUUCAUUCGUAAUGUUGCAAUGUAAUAUUAAUAUAGACAAAAGGCUUGUGUAUUCUAAACAUAAAAUGUUUCCCACCUGCUAGCACUAGCACCGUCAUUCUGCUAGAUCAAAUUAUGCUAAUACCAGCAGGCUUCCUUGGGGACAUGUCAAUCUCUUUAUCCCACACCAUAAGCUAGUUUUAGAGCACUAUUGGAUAGGAAGUCCAUCAGAAGCGGACUAAGAAGAAAGCUUAUUCGAAAAAAGGGCAGUAGAUUCUACCGCCAUGCACUACUGAGAAGAUUAGCCGCAAAGCACCAAAAUCCUAAGUAUCUUCUCGACAUGAUCAACGCCUGUCUUCUUUUUGUUGGUUCUGCUACAAUACCAACUGUGGCACUAAUAUUUUUGGUUGUUGCAGUCACUUGCCUGUUUCAUCUGUGGUAUCCUAAGUCUUUUCUCUUCUCCGAAUUUCUGCUCUUUAACGAAUGGCUAUGAGUCCUGGUCUCGCCUAUGUGAUAUUUUUCUAGCGUUUUCCCUUUUUACACGAACAUAGGUAUUAGCCAACUUAUUCCGAGCACUAUUCGUUUUAAUGUUCAAACCAGCUUUGACACGUAGUCUACAUACAUGAAGGAUAAAGUGGUUAUAUAUUGUCGGCUAGUUCUUCGCUAUUCAAUAUUGUGUUUGCUACUGUUUCCUUUUUGGCCCCAUAAGAAGGGUGCCCUUCUAUUCCAUAUGCAAAAUUUUGAAGUGGAAUGAACCAGCUACCUAAGUUGGAGACUCAAGAAGUAAAUUAUUUUUAGCCAUGGACAGUGGUGCGUGGGAGUUAGCUAUCUACGUGCCAGAACCAUGACUUGGUUUCGAUGUCUUAUGGGUUUCAACUCUAGUCUAACCCAACUUGUUACUUUAGGCCAAUUUGUUAUGAUGGAUAAGCUGGCGAACAAUUUGGUGCUGAAUUUUACAAUUUUACACUGUGGAUGUAUUUAAGUUUACCCUCAUACUACAUACAAAUUAACAAAUCAGAGUUACUUACAUAUUUUCUUUUUGUUGUAUAGUCAUGUCUACUACAUGAGUGGGGACGCGUGGAAGGAGGGAGGCAUCGACGCAACUGGUAUUGUAUAAUGUUUUAUUGUUGCUUGUGCUUAUUUAAAGUUAAACUAGUGUUCACCAUGCAAUUUUUGAGUGCGCUUCCGACUUACAUAUAUGGAACAUGUUCAAGUUAUAAGAUAUAUUUUAAGAAUUUUGAACCCCUAAUAUUAUCUCAUGACAUUUUACCAUUUUUUCUUGUGUGGUCCUUGUAGCUAACAGUGUUUUUUUGGGAUAUUGUUUAGUAGUCAAAAUGAUACCUUCUACUGAGGGACAGGUGUACCGCCCCUCUUAUAAAUCUAACAGUAGUGAAAUAAUUGGACAUAGGUUAUAUUCAGGGAGUAACAUAAUCGAGUGUAUGCAGGUACAAAAUAAACCUUGUAGGCCAAACCUCAGCUCUUACUUGUGGUCAACCCUCUGCGAAUAACAUCAAGCCAUGUCCCUGUGCCUUCUCAUAAUUCCCUUUUUUGGUUGCAAUGCAGGUGCUUUGAUGGUUUUAACGUUGAAAGUCAUUUCAUGCUCAAUGAACUACAGUGAUGGUCUCUUGAAGGAAGAAGAGGGUCUACGUGAUGCUCAGAAGAAGUAUCGCUUGGCUAAGUUGCCUUCUCUAGUCGAAUAUUUUGGUUACUGCCUCUGCUGUGGCAGCCACUUUGCUGGACCAGUAUAUGAGAUGAAAGAUUACCUUGAAUGGACUGAAAGGAAAGGAGUAAGUAGCCUUUGUCUACUUUGGGUAGGUUUAUGCCAUGUUUUGCUUCAUCCUGAUUUUGUAUGAUCUAUAACAGAUAUGGGCCAGCUCAACUCCUUCACCAUUAUUACCUACUCUGCGUGCUCUAGUUCAGGCUGGAAUAUGCAUGGGGUUAUAUUUGUAUCUGUCACCUAUGUUUCCGCUUUCACGAUUUAGUGAACCUCUAUAUUAUGAAUGGGGUUUCUGGCACCGGCUCUUCUUUCAAUACAUGUCAGGAUUUACUGCUCGUUGGAAAUACUACUUUAUAUGGUCAAUCUCAGAAGCUGCAAUUAUUAUAUCUGGCCUGGGUUUCACUGGUUGGUCUGAUUCUUCUCCCCCAAAAGCCAAAUGGGAUCGUGCUAUAAAUGUUGAUAUUCUGGGCGUCGAGUUAGCUGGAAGUGCAGCUCAACUGCCACUUAAGUGGAAUAUUCAAGUGAGCACAUGGCUAAGAUACUGUAAGUUCUAUAUCUUGAUAUUCCAGUAGACCAUCAUUGUUAUUAACUUGCUUUGUUGGAUAAUAUAAUGCUUUCUCAUCAAAUUUUGGUGUUCUCUGUAUAAACUAGAAAGCACAAUAUGAAAGCAGAUUGAGGGUCCUUUACGCAUCACAUAGCAUCUAUUUUGCUUACCAGUUACCACUAUUAAGAUCUGUGCAAUCUAAGACUUGGAGAACAAGGAAGCACUAUCUUUAAUUCUGUAUUUAUUAAUUUCUCUAAAAGGUUCAGUAUUUUUCUGUGUCUCUACUAUGAAAAAUUAGUUGAUAGUACAUAAUGCGAGGUUUUGGGGGUCUGUAAAUUAAUUUUGUUGACCACUUGAUGAUUUUUUGGAACCUUUUGGUUGCCUGUUUUUGUAGUGUGGAUGAGAGAAGCAUGUAUGCCUGUAAUUCAUGAUCUUUAGCUGAUUUCAAAAACCUGUACAUGUACAUUAUGCACUCAUGUAUUAGUAGUAAUUUGUCUCAUCAUUGACUCCUUGAGAAAUGAUCAUCUGCUUGAAGUUUAUCUUUGUGCUAAGUAUGGUAUGCACCAAGCAGUUUGUUUUCGUGCAAAUGCCAUAAUUGGAGCAAUCAGCGAUGCACUUUGGUUAUACCUAUAUAAUGUAUUGAAUGCCAUACAUUCAAGCUAUGCUGUUAUCAGUUGCAUGAGCCAUUGCUCCACUAUUUUUUUCAGAUGUGUAUGAGAGGUUAAUUCAGAAAGGGAAGAAGCCUGGUUUCCUUCAGUUGUUGGGUACACAGACAGUCAGUGCUAUCUGGCAUGUGAGUUUUUCUUCCCCUCUUAUCAUUUAAUAGUUCCUGUUCACCGUAUAUCGGACUUGUCAUGUAGCAGAGCAUCCUGAAAUUUGUUGGACAAACAGUAGCUAAAUGAAACUAGAAUGCUCUAGGCCCCGCUUGGAAUGGGGGUAAUUUUAUACACCUGUAUUUAUUCUACAGGUGUAAGUUACAGGUCAACACUUAAGAUCAGCCUGAAAUGAAAACGACCAGAGGAGGUCCGUAUCUUAUACCGGCCAGAAAACGAGCGGAAACGCUAAUCCAAACAGGGCCCUAGUGGGAAUUUAGAGCUGCUAUUGUCCUGGUAGUGGAACCUUAGUACCUGCCUUUAGAAUGGAGGCACUAUGGGUCAUUGCAAACUCGAGUUUUCCCCAUGAUAAUAACUGGCUUCACUUGUGACAUAUUAAUAACCUUUUUCCUCAGCAAGCUGUUGCUUGUGAUGAUUGAUACUUAGCCAAUCCAGCAAGCUGUGGCUUGUGAUGAUUGAUACUUGGCCAAAUUUCAUAUUACUUGGUUUUUGUCCAUUGGUCUGAUUUUUUACCGUUCUACAGGGACUGUAUCCAGGAUAUAUGAUUUUCUUUGUUCAGUCGGCGUUGAUGAUAAAUGGUUCAAAAGGUAGCUCAAUCCCUCCCUUUCCUGACAUUUCUGAGGUGUACUUGAUUGAAAGCCGUGUGAGCUUGUAAUUCUGAUUUGGCUUCCUUUUUUUAUGCAGUUAUAUACAGAUGGCAACAAGCUGUGAGCAAUUCAGGCUUCCGCACUAUCCUGUCUUUACUAAAUUGUGCAUACACCAUGAUGGUGCUUAAUUACUCAUGCAUUGGCUUCCAGGUUAGUUUCAUGCCCCUGAAUCUGGCUAUACUUUACCCUGUAGAAACUGAAAACGCAAUCUGAUCAGAUCGCUUGUCUGUUAACCAAUAAUCUGUGCACCUAAAUUUCUCCCUUUGUUUUAUUAAUUUCUUAUCUUUGAUGAUUAUUAUGCAUAUACGGUUUUGCAAGUAUCAUUUAGGUUUCACUUGACCAAAAUGAUAUUAAUCGAACUGUAGCAAAGCCAGGUUGCUUCCCAAACUUAGUUUAGACAACUUAGAUCUGCAAGUGUUUUAGUUUCGUAGCAACGUUUCCAUUUGGAUCAUGAUGUGCCACCAGAAUAUCUGAAGAUUCUAGAAUGAGAGAAAUGUUUAUUUUCCCAUUACAAGCGCUCAGUUUGCUGAAUUGCCAUUGAACAAACGUACUUUGGUUAUUCGCCACUGCACAAACACAACUUCUUGCCAAUAUGCCAUCGCUGUUACCCUUCUGUUAAUUUUAGUGUGCUUCUGUUAAAUCUCAAAUAUCUGAAAUAUCUGUCACUAUUUUGUCUGAAUCCCCAAACUUCCCUGGCUUAAAGAGAAAAGAAAAUGGCUUACCUAUUCAGCGCCUGCUCCUGCACGCACACACCUGUUUCUUCUUGUUUCUCUCCCCCAUGGACGCACCAGUAGAGGAGAUGAUGGCAGGGCAGCUUCCGGCAGGCCUUCGCCCGCUCCUCCCGACGAGUCCACCCAGCUACCAUUCUGAUGUCUACCCUGACUCCUCUCCCCGCCCCCUCCCAAAUUACAGAAAACCUAGAGGGGAGGCUGUGGAUAACUGCAAGACCUCGGUGACAGCCUUCCCGUGAUCCCAUACGCAACAGGCAAGGAGGACUACUUGGUGGCGGCAGGCACCCCUUGUGGCCCUCACAGAGAGAGCCAGCGACGAGGUUGACAUGGGUCCGUGGUCCCUGGAUGCAAUUAGGAUACUGAAGGCGAGGUAGAAGAGGAACGAGGCAACGAUGGUGUUGUACUUGCCCCAGCAGCUGUCAGCGAGGAAGGUGCCAAGGAGGGGGACAUUGAAGGUGGUUCUGUUCCAGGUGUCGGCAAGCAGGGGUUCCGUGGAGCACGGUUCCGAGCUAGACCACCAGAUUCAGUUCGACUCCAUAACAGGCGAUCCUCUCCAGCAAACUCCAAACCUGCAGUCAGUCGCUGAUAUGAAUGGUGUCGUUCCUAGAUGCUAGAUGGAGAGGAAUCAAUGGAAUGGGUCGUCGUUGGUUAAUUGUGUAGAACGAUGACAGGGCCUGUCCAAAUGAACCGUUGUCAUCAUCAUCACAGCAGUUGAGGACGAAGGAGAUUAUAAUGCUUUGUCUGAUUCGAGUUUGGCCAUCUGCUGACAUUGCCAGCUCCGUGAGCUAAAACUAGCAGCGAGCAAGUCAAUCACCGAAGCUUGCGUCUAUCCACACCCAUAACUAGUAGUGUAUUACUAAUCCAGCUCACCUUAUAACUUACAUGCCUAUCUACUUUGUUUCCUUCUACCGUUAUGGCAUAUUGGCAAUAAGUUGUGCUUGUGUGAUGGCAAAUAAGCAAAGCACACUUGUUCAAUGGCAAUCCAGCAAACCGAGCGCGAGUAUUGAGCACUAGAGCUACUAGAGCAUUACUAGUACAAUUAAUGUUUUUUGUGCAGAAAGAAAGACGUGGGUUAAAUUCCUAACAUUCUUUUGUUCCUCCACAGUAGCUUCGAACCUACUCUAGUAUGUGGAACAUAUGCCUUUGUCAAUCAUCUUCCACAUAAAACAUACUAACAUUUACAAUGCUCUAUGCUUUUGUUUUCCUCAAGGUACUGAGCUUCCAGGAGACCUUAGCAUCCUACAAGAGCGUGUAUUAUGUUGGCACAAUCGUUCCUAUUCUAUGCGUCUUGCUGGGCUAUGUUAUCAAGCCCGCGAGACCUGUGAAGCCGAAGGCUCACAAGGCAGAGUGAGGAACAGAGCGAAUUGAUCUUUACAUAGAUGAGUUACGAAGCUUCAAUGAUGAUUAUGUCAAGAUAGUUUUCAGUUUACUUCCAUCUUUGUGAAACAAUAUCAAAUUUAGCCAAAAGGAUAAUGUGGUGGCUCCAUUGUAAUUGACCAAUCAUUAGAAACCUGUUGUUUCGUCGGGCUGAUCACCCAUUUGUUUUACCACACAUGCAACACAUGAUUUUUGGCCCUAAGCUGUAUGUUAUUCAUUUACCUUUUCUGCUUGGCUCUAUUCAAACUGAUGUAUAUUUUCGCACCUUCCCAUUGGCUCUGUAUGGAGGUGUGAACGCUAUUGCUGGUUCAUAGUCGUGUUGCAUCGUGCCGGGUCGGUAGCAGCUGGAGCUCCUAGAACAAACAUUCGUCUUUUGACUAUCUGCAGCACUCACUUUGAACGCAGUUUUGGUGCGAUGGCGGCUGAAGCUGAGGCCGGGAUCACAAGAAAGACAGACCUUGGUCAUAGACAACGAAUGAGUUGGAAUGUAUCUGACGCGUCUUUCUGCUCGGGUCAUAUAAAUGGUGCUAUAGCGGCGUGAAUCUAUGGGUGCUCCGGUCCGGUCCAAGUCCGACUUGCUGAUUGAUUGAUAUGCAGUGGCGGUGGUUCUGGCGCUGCUGGCCUCUCUCAUGUUUGUCCAAUUGUAAUUGUGCCGGGGCCACGGCAAGUGCAUAGUACAUGCAUGCAUGGCCUGAAAGUGCCCGCUUGGUGCUCUGCUCUUCUGACGCGACCACCAGAGGGCGGGCAGCGUAGUGUGCUACAGUGCUAUGCAGGAAAAGGGUCAGUGAUGCGACGUAGCGUGGCGUUGAUCAGGUCGUGGCCACGACUGCUGGCUGCCCUGGUCGGGUUCCAGUUGCAAUCAUGGUGAUGAUCUGAUCCCGCACUCGUUCUGGUGCGGCAUCACGAGCGGCGCAUGCUCCGCAGUAGUAGUACGGCAGGAAAUCUCCCCUUUCCCAUAGCAGACCAGAGAAGCAGCCGCUUCUUUAAAAAAUGCAUGAUUUUUAUUUUGAGCCCUGACCGUAGAACAAUCAUUCUACGGUAUUUUCAUUAAUAUAAAAUAAGAUUACAAAGUACAAAACUAUGUUACAAAAAAAUGCAUGAAUUUUGCUGCAGAAAGAGGUCGUUUUAGCUGCUACCACGUUCAAAGGAAUUUUUUUACUUGUAGCUAAUAUAUGUAAAUAUAUUCUGUCUCGAAUACAUGGAAGACAGAGCGCAGCCCAUCUUGCCCUUCAAUUGCUUUGGUCGCGCUACUGUUGCGUUACGCCCAUGAAUUCAAAGUCCGCGGCCCCGGUUGAGCACCUUGAAGAAAGCCUCUUCCGCGCAUGUCAAAACCAGCAUUGCUCUCGUCUGCUUGCUGUUGCGCCACGAGCCGUCCCGCGCACGCGCUCGCUUGUGUAGCAGGAGUCGUCUUCCACUCGGGCACCCGUUGCAGCGUGGCGUGGGCAUGGGACAUACCACCACCGAUCGGCCUUGCUGGUGACCCCGGAGACUAGCUUGGACGUGCAGAGCGCACGCCAGUACACAGGACAGUUUCGUCAUACUACUAGCAAUCAAUCGGCUGUCGUGGCCUGCCGGGCGGACGACACGAGGCUACGAGAGGGGUGUAUAGCGGGCAGCCUGAGCUUCGCAGCGUGCGUGCGUGCCUAUAAACGUUGCUGACAAAAGAAAAAUGUCACUAUAUGCGCGCGUGCUACGGAGGAGUGGCUGCCAGUUUCAGUUUGUCAUCAAUCAGCAGUCAGUUCACUGUGGGUUGUGCGUGCGUCUACCAGCUUUAACUAUAGCUUGGGGCAACGCUAGCUACAUGCCAUGCAUAUGCCAAAUGCCAGAGUCCAGAGCGUUUGUUACCCGACUGCCAGCAGCGGUCCCGUAAAAUGAGUCAAAUCCAUCACGCGCGCGCACUCGCGCCGCGCUGUGCAGCGGAGCCCCAUGCGAGUACGUCAGGUGGCGUCGACGACGGCGACCCCGUUCGUUUGGCGACUGUUGGAGAUGGAACCACCGUACGCGCGCCCGCCAUGCCCCUCCUGGACGUGCAGAGGACUCACCAAUUCUUGCGCCGCAUCCGUUGCACUUGCGCUGAUCGGGUCCCCCGGCCUGCCCCUGCCGCACCGGACGUCGGGUUACGAGCCGGCACGCUUGCGUUCGGAUGCGCUUUCCGUGGUCGAGGCUCCUCCCUCGCCUGUUUUGGCCUCUCGCGCCGUUCAGGGGUCAGUAGCGUAUACGUGGUAGGACUAGGGUUCCUACCGGCUCUACUCUUUAGAUUAUAAGGGCAGAACAAUAGAGGUUGAGGGCGAGGACGCGAGCUCCGUUGCGUCGGCACCGUCGCGAGGAAGGAGGAGGGCGGCGGCGGUUAGGGCUGGAGGCGGCUAGGGUUCCGGCUCCUUUGGGAGCCGGGCAAUAGGGAUAGAAAAUAUCUUUAUUGCUUAAUUCCAAAAAGAGUCUUGCAGCCUAUUUUUAUAACCUAGAUAAUUUGCAUAAGAAUUAACCUAAGAUAACUUGUGGGCUAAGAUUGCCCUGUGGGCCUAGCUAAACCGGCCAUAACACUUCUCCCCGCCUGCACAAACAGCUCGUCCUCGAGCUGUAAGGUGGGGAAGCGCUUGCGGAAUUCCUCGAGGCGAUCAACCAGCGUCAAACACCUUCUCGACAGCUGGGGCGGCCAGGUCGGCGGCGACGGCGUCCUCCGGAAUGUAGUUUGCAACAUCCAGGUAGAAGAGUCGCGGGCACGCGUGGCCGGGCGUGUAGGGCUCGUCGCAGUUGAAGCACAACCCUUGGCGGCGACGCUCGAGUAUCUCGGCUGAGGUGAGCUGGCGGAACGGGCGCUCCGCGGUCGCGGCGAGGGGUGCCGCAGAAGCCUGCGCAGGCCGACCCUGCGCGGAAUCCGGCCCGGGUAGCGACCCAGCGGUCCGGGACGGUGAUUCCUGCUGGAUGGCCACCGCGCGGCGCUCGAACACGCGGGCGUAGUACAUGGCCGACUGGAGAUCCUGGGGUCCCCGAAGCUCCACGUCCACAUGGAUGUGAUCCGGAAGUCCACCGACAAAGAGGUCGGCUCGCUGCUGCGCCGUUACGCCCGACGCAUGGCACGCCAAGGCUUGGAAGCGGUCGGCGAAGUCCUGCACCGUAGAGGUGAAGGGAAGGUGGCCGAGCUCCGACAGGCGGUUCCCGUGAACCGGGGGCCCAAAGCGGAGGAGGCAGAGCUCGCGGAAGCGCUCCCAAGAAGGCAUGGCACCCUCGUCCUGCUCGAGAGCGUAGUACCACGUCUGUGCCGCGCCGCGGAGGUGAUAAGAGGCAAGCCAGGUCCGCUCCGAAGCGAGUGUGCGCUGCCCGCGAAAGAACUGGCCGCACUAGUUGAGCCAGUUGAGGGGGUCCUCCGUGCCGUCAUAAGUGGCGAAGUCGAUCUUGGCGAACCGCGGCGGUGCCUGGGAGGGAACGCCGUGUCGAGCUGGCUCGGAGGUGCGGAGCAGCGAGGAGGGUGGUGCUUGGUCGGAGUACUCCGGGUAGGGACCCGCGGAACCGGAGGGCCCCCCGAACUGCGGAAACGGAGUCGGCUGUUCGGGGGCUGUGGUGUAGACCGGCGAUGGCGAAGACCCAGCCGCCCACGCUGGAAGUGGCGACGGGGAGGGCGCGAACCGGACCUGAUGAAUCGGGAGGCCGGUCGGCGAGGGUGCCCCCGAGCUAGGCAGGGGUGGCGCCGAUGGUUGUAGCGUCGGCGGCGGAGGGUGGGCGGUGGCGUCGGUGGCCGCGGGGGACGGUGGCUGCAAGUAUCACAGAGGGGCCGCGACCGGCGUGGUCCCGCCGAAGUGUCCCGCCCGGGACGGUUGCAGCGGCAGCCCGGUGCAAGCCGGCGCGGUUGUCCCCGAGCUGAUCAAGGACGGUGAGGGCGCGGAGAACGGCUGCGGCGGUCCGGUGGCCGCCGCCUGCGGCAUCUGCUGUAGCGGCCAGGGGGCCGCUGAUGGCGUCGGCGCGAAGGGCCAGAGGGGCGCCGCGGCAGCCGGAGGGCCGCCCGGUGGAGCUGCCUGGAACGGCAGCAUCAGGGGAGCGCCGUACGGAGAAACACCCUGGAGCGGCCACGACGUGUGGCCGUAGGCAGCAACGGGCGCCGUCGGCAGGGGCAUGUAGGGCCCGGCCGCGUACUGCUGCUGCUGCAGGUGGAGGCUCUGGACGGCGGUCACGAGAUCCCGCAGGGUGGCCGUGACCUGCUCCGGUGUGAAGACGGCGGACGGCGGUGGCGCGGAGGGGACCGGGGAGGGCGGCGCGGAGGGGCCCGGUGGAGACGUGGCCCGCCAACGCGGUUAUCCCGGCGGCGGACGUCAUCGGCGCGGUGAGGGGCGGCGCCGUCGUCAUCGGAGCGGUGGAGCCGCUGGACAACGUCGGCGAUGGUGGUGGCUGCGACAUGAUCCGAACUUGGUCUCUGAUAUCAAAUUGGUAGGACUAGGGUUCCUACCGGCUCUACUCCUUAGGUUAUAAGGGCAGAACAGCAGAGGUUGAAGGCGAGGACGCGAGCUCCGACGCGUCGGCGCCGUCGCGAGGAAGGAGGAGGGCGGCGGCGGUUAGGGCUGGAGGCGGCUAGGGUUCCAGCUCCUCUGGGAGCCGGGCAAUAGGGAUAGAAAAUAUCUUUAUUGCUUAAUUUUAAAAAGAGUUUUAUAGCUUAUAUUUAUGAGACAAUAUCAAGUGGAAACCACGUAUUCAGUGGAAUGCUGGAAGCCUCAGCCUAGCCCGUUGGAUGCUAUUUGUAUGGACCAGAUAGAAUCAUAACUGCUAUGCUCUAUUUGCACAAAAACGCCCGCAACCAGGGAUGCUAUUUUACGGGUACACCCUCAGGUCUAACAAGUAAUCACAGCGUACAUCCUUGCCCCUUAUUUCCACUUUUUUGUCAGCCAAGUAGGAUUUGUAAGCCAUGCGCUGUGCCUAUACUUCAGCACACAUACGUUUCGAUUUAAAUUGAAAAACUAGCUCAAUGGAUACCAAAACUGUACCAACAAAAUCACAUUUGGGAAACCAAAAGAACAGACAGUCAAUGCCCCAGAUCAGACAACAGAAAACUGAAGGAAGCUAAUUUUAAUAUAGUCUACUAGUAUCAGAAUUCACUUGCAGUAAUGGAUGCAUCGCUUCAACAACACAUACAUUAGUUAAGGCAAAUGUUCCAACCGCAUUAUGCUAGGGAAUUUUGUUACAAGAUAGACACAUCACUAACUGAACAGCCAUAGUAAAUCUCACACUUAUACAUCAAACAUUGAGCACACAACUCGAGUACACAACAACGGUCUUUUUUUUGGGUUGGAAUCUGCAUAGAUCUUUACUGCCACCAGCAAACCUGAAAAAUAAGAGUUGAACUUUUUUAUACAUAAUACACUAAAACGAGUUUAACAACAAUCUAUGCAAAUAGAUACAGUAGUGCAUGCCAUCUUUAUUAGCAAAAAAAGAACAUAAUUAUUUUUCAAACCAGCUCAUUUCUUAUUUCCCAUCGUACUACACAAAUAAUUAUGCAUACAACAAAAAGUUAAUUUGGAGGACGGGUGCAUUGAAGCCCGAUAUUUGGAAUAGUGUCAAAAUUCUAUUUUGAAGUUUCAAAAUGUUCUGAAAACAAAUCAACAUGGUUAUAUGGAUGUAUAUUACACAUGUGUAAAUUUUGAUGCUGAAAUAAGUAACCAUGUGAGUUACACAAAAAUGACAAAAUCGUUUUUUUUGGAAAGAUGAACUGAGCAUGCAUUAUUAACUAUUUGAAAAUCACCAUUUUGUCAUUUUUCUAUAGCUCACAGGUUUAUUUGUUUCGUCACCAAACUUUACACAACUGUAAUAUACAUCCAUAUGAUCACGUAGAAUUGUUUUCGAGUUUUUUUGGAACUUUAAAUGUGAUUUUAAAAGUAUUUAAAAUAAGGUCCUUGAAUAAUUAAUCUAGUAGCAAUGGCAAACACAUACAUUAAUCAAGGAUUUUUCUCUCACUCACUCACACUACUGGCACCACACACACAAUAAUUAAUCUACAAAAUUUGCAGCAGCGCGUAUAAGCCCUACACACCGCUCGAGUUUUCUCUUUGAUAACUUCCAUCUAAACACAAUUUUCAAUUCAGAUACGUAUCAUCAUCUAAAUUCCAUCUAGACAGUAGGGGUAGCAGUUUAUAGAUAAAUAACAAUUUUCAUAGACAGCAGAGCAUGCCAUGGUUACACAGAGCACACACGCCAGGCAGCAAGCCAGCAACACAUGAAUAGUCAUAGAUGUGUACUAUAACAGUAACACACAAUAAUUAUGAGCAAAUGAAUUAUACCUCGCAAUUUCUUCAAGACCAAAAUCUGGACAGUACGACUCAGGGGAAAUCAGCAGCUGUAGGCAAGAUGCCACUACCUCGUUUCCUCUACUUCCUUCAAAUGAUGUGCUGAUCUUGGAGGAGACAGCCCAAUGAGCCACGUCCUUGUCCCCUCCUCUGUUUGCUUGGCAAACCUAGCCCAAUCUAGAGAAGAGGGAACUACUAGAUGAGCCACGGGACAAAGAAGCACCGGGCCAAAGCACAGAAGACGAACACUACAGAUGGUCAUACCUUGGGAUUAGAUCUAGUAUGACAUCGAUGGGGAAUGCUCGGAGGACCGGCACUGUUGGCCGGAGACGAAUCAGAAGCGCCGCUCGCUGGCCCUGCCCGGAACGCCGCUCGCCGGCCCUGCCCGAAACGCUCGGAGACUCGCACGCUUGGCCGGACACAACCACCGGAGAGGAAUUAACCGCGCCGCUCGCCCCUCGCCCCUCGCCAGCCUAGCGCGGAACGAGGGGGUCCUGCCGGAGGGAAGCAUCAUCUCCCAACAGGUCUCCUAAGGGCAUCUACAAUGAUAGACGCUUGCAAAGACGCUAACAGUGAAAAGAAUAAAUACCGAAUUAAAAAAAAGUGCCUAAGCGCCCUACGUUACAACGGCAGGCGCUAACUACAUGCGUUAAAUUGAACUACCCGGGCGCUUCGCGUGGGAAGAAAAACAAGGAAGCGCCCGGCGCAUGGCCGUGCGUCGAUGCUACACAGAACGCUGGGAUUCCAGUGAUAACUGCCCAAUCAACCAGGAAUCUGAUCCUGGCGCCCAUGCUAAGCAUCGGGCGUUGUACAUGCCCUAA